RNAcentral lists this transfer RNA (70 nucleotides) under Dermacoccus nishinomiyaensis. RNAcentral's name for it is "tRNA-Pro". Lineage: Bacteria; Bacillati; Actinomycetota; Actinomycetes; Micrococcales; Dermacoccaceae. The record is from RNAcentral.
CGGGCUGUAGCGCAGUUUGGUAGCGCACUUGACUGGGGGUCAAGGGGUUUACCCCUCCUGGUUGGCUCAA